Molecule: transfer RNA, 74 nt
Filed under: Schistocerca americana (American grasshopper)
Lineage: Eukaryota; Metazoa; Arthropoda; Insecta; Orthoptera; Acrididae
Description: tRNA-Ala
Rfam family: tRNA (bases 6-70)
About the family: Transfer RNA (tRNA) molecules are approximately 80 nucleotides in length. Their secondary structure includes four short double-helical elements and three loops (D, anti-codon, and T loops).
Source: RNAcentral
GGCUUGGUGUAACUCAGUGGUAGAGUGUCUGCUUCGCAUGCAGAAAGUCCUGGGUUCAAAUCCCAGCUCCUCCA